UUCCUGGUGGUCCAGUGGUUAGGGCUUGGCACUUUUACUGCCCAGCCUCGGGUUCCAUUCUUGGUCAGGGAA
Molecule: transfer RNA, 72 nt
Filed under: Bos taurus (domestic cattle)
Lineage: Eukaryota; Metazoa; Chordata; Mammalia; Artiodactyla; Bovidae
Also listed under: 4 other names
Rfam family: tRNA
About the family: Transfer RNA (tRNA) molecules are approximately 80 nucleotides in length. Their secondary structure includes four short double-helical elements and three loops (D, anti-codon, and T loops). Further hydrogen bonds mediate the characteristic L-shaped molecular structure. tRNAs have two regions of fundamental functional importance: the anti-codon, which is responsible for specific mRNA codon recognition, and the 3' end, to which the tRNAs corresponding amino acid is attached (by aminoacyl-tRNA synthetases). tRNAs cope with the degeneracy of the genetic code in two manners: having more than one tRNA (with a specific anti-codon) for a particular amino acid; and 'wobble' base-pairing, i.e. permitting non-standard base-pairing at the 3rd anti-codon position.
Source: Rfam by way of RNAcentral